UAUCUCAUAAAGAAGUUCAAAAGCAUCUUCAACACCUUGUUCAUCUACAGAUCUUCCACUAUCUAAAUGUGCAGAGACAACAUCACGAUUAUACUUCAGUAUGUAGAAUGAAGUAUCACUAGCAAUAGCCACCAGAUCACCACUGUCAGCCCAGUAGAGGUUUUUGACAUUAACAUCAAUACGUCGUAUCAACCUGCACUCAAUCCAAUCGUAAAAGCAAAUGAAAUCAUUUGAGCACAUUGCCAAUAAGGUACCCCCAUAGAUGUGCUCAGCAGAGAAAGUCGGGCGGAUACUCUUUUUUUCCUGGAAAUUUUUGCUGAAAAUCUUAAUCCUUGAAGUACUUUCUCG
RNAcentral lists this unclassified non-coding RNA (348 nucleotides) under Hevea brasiliensis (rubber tree). Lineage: Eukaryota; Viridiplantae; Streptophyta; Magnoliopsida; Malpighiales; Euphorbiaceae. The record is from RNAcentral.